This 440-nucleotide ribosomal RNA is filed under the name uncultured bacterium. RNAcentral's name for it is "partial 16S ribosomal RNA". It matches the Rfam family "Bacterial small subunit ribosomal RNA", at positions 338 to 795 of the family's 1533-position model. The record is from RNAcentral.
CCUACGGGUGGCAGCAGUAGGGAAUAUUGCUCAAUGGGGGAAACCCUGAAGCAGCAACGCCGCGUGGAGGAUGAAGGUUUUAGGAUUGUAAACUCCUUUUGUGAGAGAAGAUAAUGACGGUAUCCCACGAAUAAGCACCGGCUAACUCCGUGCCAGCAGCCGCGGUAAUACGGGGGGUGCAAGCGUUACUCGGAAUUACUGGGCGUAAAGAGUGCGCAGGCGGGCUUAUAAGUGAGAUGUGAAAUCCUGUAGCUUAACUACAGAACUGGAUUUGAAACUAUGGGUCUAGAGUGUGGGAGAGGUAGGUGGAAUUCUUGGUGUAGCGGUAAAAUGCGUAGAUAUCAAGAGGAAUACUGAUUGCGAAGGCGGCCUACUGGAACAUUACUGACGCUGAUGCACGAAAGCGUGGGGAGCAAACAGGAUUAGAUACCCGGGUAGUC